AUUGAACGCUGGCGGCAGGCCUAACACAUGCAAGUCGAGCGAGCGGCGGACGGGUGAGUAAUGUCUGGGAAACUGCCUGAUGGAGGGGGAUAACUACUGGAAACGGUAGCUAAUACCGCAUACCAUCAGAUGUGCCCAGAUGGGUUUAGCUAGUAGGUGGGGUAAUGGCUCACAUAGGCGUCGAUCCCUAGCUGUUCUGAGAGGAUGACCAGCCACGCUGGAACUGAGACACGGUCCAGACGCCUAGGGAGGGCAGCAGUGGGGAAUAUUGCACAAGGGGCGCAGUCCUGAUGCCGCCAUGCCGCGUAGGUGAAGAAGGCCUUCGGGUUGUAAGGCACUUUCAGCGGGGAGGCGUUACCCGCAGAAGAAGCACCGGCUAACUCCGUGCCAGCAGCCGCGGUAAUAC
This 406-nucleotide ribosomal RNA is filed under the name uncultured bacterium. RNAcentral's name for it is "partial 16S ribosomal RNA". It matches the Rfam family "Bacterial small subunit ribosomal RNA", at positions 30 to 526 of the family's 1533-position model. The record is from RNAcentral.